Molecule: ribosomal RNA, 459 nt
Filed under: Triticum aestivum (bread wheat)
Lineage: Eukaryota; Viridiplantae; Streptophyta; Magnoliopsida; Poales; Poaceae
Description: partial small subunit ribosomal RNA
Source: RNAcentral
AUGAGUCAUCCUGAUGGCAUGAAGAUCCCCGAUGGCAAGUUCUACCUAGCAGAUGGUGGCUAUGCAUGUCGGCCAGGUGUUCUUCCACCCUUCAAGAAAACCAUGUACCAUCUGAACGAGUUCUCUGGUAGGAACUAUUCUAGGACUCCUCAUGAACUGUUCAAUCUUAGACACUUUAGCCUUAGAGUAACGGUUGAGAGGACAUUUGGAACUUUGAAGAAUAGGUUUAAGAUCCUGGAUCAGAAGCCAUACCAUCCUUACCCUACCAAGGCCAGGCUUGUUCUUGCAUGUUGCAUCAUUUACAACUGGAUCCUGCAAUGGGGAACUGAUGAACUUGUGGAGGAGGAAGAUGUGACACCUGAUGAGGUGGUCAUCUCCGACCAUGGUGUGGAGGCGUUUGACAAUGAAGUGUGGAAGAACAAAAGGUUGGACUGGGCUCAGGAAAUGUGGGAUAACUGA